Molecule: ribosomal RNA, 493 nt
Filed under: Eurepini sp. Aus
Lineage: Eukaryota; Metazoa; Arthropoda; Insecta; Orthoptera; Gryllidae
Description: partial 16S ribosomal RNA
Rfam family: Archaeal large subunit ribosomal RNA
Source: RNAcentral
CUUUUUGUAUUAAUAAAAGGUCGUGCCUGCCCACUGAUGGUUAAUUGAAGGGCCGCGGUAUUUUGACCGUGCAAAGGUAGCAUAAUCAUUAGUUUUUUAAUUGGAAACUGGAAUGAAUGGUUUGAACGCGAUAAUAACUGUCUUAUAAUUAAGAAUUGAAUUUUACUUUUGAGUUAAAAGGCUCAAAUAUUAAUAAGGGACGAGAAGACCCUAUAGAUCUUUACAUUCAACUGUUUAUGUARGAUUGGUUGUUUAAUUAUUAUACAUAUAUAAGUUGAUUUGUUUUGUUGGGGUGACAAGAGAAUAUAAAAACUUCUUUAUAUAAAACUUAAAUGUAUGGGAAGAUGAUCCUUAAUUUUGGAAUUAAGAUUAAGAUACCUUAGGGAUAACAGCGUAAUUUUGUUGGAGAGUUCUUAUCGAUAACAUAGAUUGCGACCUCGAUGUUGGAUUAAGAUUAAAUUAAGGUGUAGGUGCUUUAAAAUUUGGUCUGUUC